RNAcentral lists this ribosomal RNA (578 nucleotides) under Pseudomonas extremorientalis. RNAcentral describes it as "bacterial SSU rRNA". It matches the Rfam family "Bacterial small subunit ribosomal RNA", at positions 117 to 693 of the family's 1533-position model. The record is from RNAcentral. Lineage: Bacteria; Pseudomonadati; Pseudomonadota; Gammaproteobacteria; Pseudomonadales; Pseudomonadaceae.
CUAGGAAUCUGCCUGGUAGUGGGGGAUAACGUUCGGAAACGAACGCUAAUACCGCAUACGUCCUACGGGAGAAAGCAGGGGACCUUCGGGCCUUGCGCUAUCAGAUGAGCCUAGGUCGGAUUAGCUAGUUGGUGAGGUAAUGGCUCACCAAGGCGACGAUCCGUAACUGGUCUGAGAGGAUGAUCAGUCACACUGGAACUGAGACACGGUCCAGACUCCUACGGGAGGCAGCAGUGGGGAAUAUUGGACAAUGGGCGAAAGCCUGAUCCAGCCAUGCCGCGUGUGUGAAGAAGGUCUUCGGAUUGUAAAGCACUUUAAGUUGGGAGGAAGGGCAGUUACCUAAUACGUGAUUGUUUUGACGUUACCGACAGAAUAAGCACCGGCUAACUCUGUGCCAGCAGCCGCGGUAAUACAGAGGGUGCAAGCGUUAAUCGGAAUUACUGGGCGUAAAGCGCGCGUAGUGGUUUGUUAAGUUGGAUGUGAAAUCCCCGGGCUCAACCUGGGAACUGCAUUCAAAACUGACUGACUAGAGUAUGGUAGAGGGUGGUGGAAUUUCCUGUGUAGGGGUGAAUGCGUAG